Molecule: non-coding RNA, 112 nt
Organism: Paramuricea clavata
Lineage: Eukaryota; Metazoa; Cnidaria; Anthozoa; Malacalcyonacea; Plexauridae
Source: the annotation of a GenBank genome assembly
UUGCCAUUUUUCAGUCAUUUUGUAUUACAAAUGGGAAAUUGAUAAUCAGUUUGAUUAUCUGAUUAUCAAUUUCCCAUUUGUAAUGCAAAAUGACUGAAAAAUGGCAAACUUU